RNAcentral lists this ribosomal RNA (1730 nucleotides) under Listeria monocytogenes. RNAcentral describes it as "partial 23S ribosomal RNA". It matches the Rfam family "Bacterial large subunit ribosomal RNA", at positions 415 to 2143 of the family's 2925-position model. The record is from RNAcentral. Lineage: Bacteria; Bacillati; Bacillota; Bacilli; Caryophanales; Listeriaceae.
CGGCGGAACACGUGAAAUUCCGUCGGAAUCCGGGAGGACCAUCUCCCAAGGCUAAAUACUCCCUAGUGACCGAUAGUGAACCAGUACCGUGAGGGAAAGGUGAAAAGCACCCCGGAAGGGGAGUGAAACAGUUCCUGAAACCGUGUGCCUACAAGUAGUUAGAGCCCGUUAAUGGGUGAUAGCGUGCCUUUUGUAGAAUGAACCGGCGAGUUACGAUUUGUUGCAAGGUUAAGCGGAAAAAGCGGAGCCGUAGCGAAAGCGAGUCUGAAUAGGGCGCAUAAGUAACAGGUCGUAGACCCGAAACCAGGUGAUCUACCCAUGUCCAGGAUGAAGGUAAGGUAAUACUUACUGGAGGUCCGAACCCACGCACGUUGAAAAGUGCGGGGAUGAGGUGUGGGUAGCGGAGAAAUUCCAAUCGAACUUGGAGAUAGCUGGUUCUCUCCGAAAUAGCUUUAGGGCUAGCCUCGAGGUAAAGAGUCAUGGAGGUAGAGCACUGUUUGGACUAGGGGCCCUUCUCGGGUUACCGAAUUCAGAUAAACUCCGAAUGCCAUGUACUUAUACUCGGGAGUCAGACUGCGAGUGAUAAGAUCCGUAGUCGAAAGGGAAACAGCCCAGACCACCAGUUAAGGUCCCCAAAUAUAUGUUAAGUGGAAAAGGAUGUGGGGUUGCUUAGACAACCAGGAUGUUGGCUUAGAAGCAGCCACCAUUGAAAGAGUGCGUAAUAGCUCACUGGUCGAGUGACCCCGCGCCGAAAAUGUACCGGGGCUAAACAUAUUACCGAAACUGUGGAUGAACCUCUUUAGAGGUUCGUGGUAGGAGAGCGUUCUAAGGGCGGUGAAGUCAGACCGGAAGGACUGGUGGAGCGCUUAGAAGUGAGAAUGCCGGUAUGAGUAGCGAAAGAAGGGUGAGAAUCCCUUCCACCGAAUAUCUAAGGUUUCCUGAGGAAGGCUCGUCCGCUCAGGGUUAGUCGGGACCUAAGCCGAGGCCGAUAGGCGUAGGCGAUGGACAACAGGUAGAGAUUCCUGUACCAGUGCUAAUUGUUUAACCGAUGGGGUGACACAGAAGGAUAGGGAAUCGCACGAAUGGAAAUGUGCGUCCAAGCAGUGAGUGUGAGAAGUAGGCAAAUCCGCUUCUCGCGAAGCAUGAGCUGUGAUGGGGAAGGAAAUUAAGUACGGAAGUUCCUGAUUUCACGCUGUCAAGAAAAGCCUCUAGGAAGAGUAGUACUGCCCGUACCGCAAACCGACACAGGUAGAUGAGGAGAGAAUCCUAAGGUGAGCGAGAGAACUCUCGUUAAGGAACUCGGCAAAAUGACCCCGUAACUUCGGGAGAAGGGGUGCUCUAUUAGGGUGCAAGCCCGAGAGAGCCGCAGUGAAUAGGCCCAGGCGACUGUUUAGCAAAAACACAGGUCUCUGCAAAACCGUAAGGUGACGUAUAGGGGCUGACGCCUGCCCGGUGCUGGAAGGUUAAGAGGAGUGCUUAGCUUCGGCGAAGGUACGAAUUGAAGCCCCAGUAAACGGCGGCCGUAACUAUAACGGUCCUAAGGUAGCGAAAUUCCUUGUCGGGUAAGUUCCGACCCGCACGAAAGGCGCAACGAUCUGGGCACUGUCUCAACGAGAGACUCGGUGAAAUUAUAGUACCUGUGAAGAUGCAGGUUACCCGCGACAGGACGGAAAGACCCCGUGGAGCUUUACUGCAACCUGAUAUGGAAUGUUUGUACCGCUUGUACAGGA